Molecule: ribosomal RNA, 460 nt
Filed under: uncultured bacterium
Lineage: Bacteria
Description: partial 16S ribosomal RNA
Rfam family: Bacterial small subunit ribosomal RNA
Source: RNAcentral
CCUACGGGUGGCAGCAGUGAGGAAUAUUGGUCAAUGGACGAGAGUCUGAACCAGCCACGUAGCGUGAAGGAUGACUGCCCUAUGGGUUGUAAACUUCUUUUAUAUGGGAGUAAAAUGUUCCACGUGUGGGCUUUUGUAUGUACCAUAUGAAUAAGGAUCGACUAACUCCGUGCCAGCGGCCGCGGUCAUACGGAGGAUCCGAGCGUUAUCCGGAUUUCUUGGGUUUAAAGGGAGCGUAGGUGGAUUGUUAAGUCAGUUGUGAAAGUGUGCGGCUCAACCGUAGAAUUGCAGUUGAAACUGGCUGUCUUGAGUACAGUAGAGGUGGGCGGAAUUCGUGGUGUAGCGGUGAAAUGCUUAGAUAUCACGAAGAACGCCGAUGGCGAAGGCAGCUUACUGGACUGCAACUGACACUGAGGCUCGAAAGUGUGGGUAUCAAACAGGAUUAGAUACCCGAGUAGUC